GUAAUUCGGGGGCGGACGCCGGGGUAGUACAGAGGGGGCGACCGUUAAUCGGAAUGACUGGGCGUAAAGCUAGUGUAGGUUGCUCAUUAAGUCAGAUGUGAAAUCCCCGGGCUUAACCUGGGAACUGCAUGUGAUACUGGUGGUGCUAGAAUAUGUUAGAGGGAAUUAGAAUUCCAGGUGUAGCGGUGAAAUGCGUAGAGAUCUGGAGGAAUACCGAUGGCGAAGGCAGCUUCCUGGCAUAAUAUUGACACUGAGAUUCGAAAGCGUGGGUAGCAAACAGGAUUAGAUACCCGUGUAGUC
This 300-nucleotide ribosomal RNA is filed under the name uncultured Pyrobaculum sp. Its description in RNAcentral is "partial 16S ribosomal RNA". It matches the Rfam family "Bacterial small subunit ribosomal RNA", at positions 497 to 795 of the family's 1533-position model. The record is from RNAcentral. Lineage: Archaea; Thermoproteati; Thermoproteota; Thermoprotei; Thermoproteales; Thermoproteaceae.